AGUGAACGCUGGCGGUAGGCCUAACACAUGCAAGUCGAACGGCAGCACAGUAAGAGCUUGCUCUUACGGGUGGCGAGUGGCGGACGGGUGAGGAAUACAUCGGAAUCUACUUUUUCGUGGGGGAUAACGUAGGGAAACUUACGCUAAUACCGCAUACGACCUACGGGUGAAAGCAGGGGAUCUUCGGACCUUGCGCGAUUGAAUGAGCCGAUGUCGGAUUAGCUAGUUGGCGGGGUAAAGGCCCACCAAGGCGACGAUCCGUAGCUGGUCUGAGAGGAUGAUCAGCCACACUGGAACUGAGACACGGUCCAGACUCCGACGGGAGGCAGCAGUGGGGAAUAUUGGACAAUGGGCGCAAGCCUGAUCCAGCCAUACCGCGUGGGUGAAGAAGGCCUUCGGGUUGUAAAGCCCUUUUGUUGGGAAAGAAAAGCAGCAGGUUAAUACCCCGCUGUUCUGACGGUACCCAAAGAAUAAUCACCGGCUAACUUCGUG
Molecule: ribosomal RNA, 492 nt
Filed under: uncultured bacterium
Lineage: Bacteria
Description: partial 16S ribosomal RNA
Rfam family: Bacterial small subunit ribosomal RNA
Source: RNAcentral